UACAGAGGUCUCAAGCGUUGUUCGGAAUCACUGGGCGUAAAGGGUGCGUAGGCGGUCGGGUAAGUCUGAUGUGAAAUCUCACAGCUUAACUGUGAAACUGCAUUGGAUACUAUUCGGCUUGAGAGUUGGAGGGGGGACUGGAAUUCUUGGUGUAGCAGUGAAAUGCGUAGAUAUCAAGAGGAACACCAGUGGCGAAGGCGAGUCCCUGGACAACUUCUGACGCUGAGGCACGAAAGCUAGGGGAGCAAACAGG
Molecule: ribosomal RNA, 253 nt
Filed under: uncultured bacterium
Lineage: Bacteria
Description: partial 16S ribosomal RNA
Rfam family: Bacterial small subunit ribosomal RNA
Source: RNAcentral